CUACGGGCUGCACCAGCUGCGAAUUUUUUACAAUGCACGAAAGUGUGAUAGAGCGAACCAAAGUGCUUACCUUUCGGUAAGCUUUUCUUCUGUGUAAAAAACAGGAGGAAUAAGGACUGGGAAAGACCGGUGCCAGCCGCCGCGGUAAUACCGGCAGUUCAAGUGGCAUCCAACUUUAUUGGGUCUAAAACAUCCGUAGCUUGUUUGUUAAGUCUCUUGUGAAAUCUCACGUCUCAAGCGUGGGGCUUGCAGGGGAUACUGGCAAACUUGAGAUCGGUAGACGUAAGGAGUACGAUCAAGGUAAUGGUUAAAUAUGUUAAUCUUGGUUGGACUAACGAUUAGCGAAGGCACCUUACGAGGACGAGUCUGACAGUGAGGGAUGAAGGCCAGGGGCGCAAAACGGAUUAGAUACCCCUGUAGUC
Molecule: ribosomal RNA, 422 nt
Filed under: uncultured archaeon
Lineage: Archaea
Description: partial 16S ribosomal RNA
Rfam family: Archaeal small subunit ribosomal RNA
Source: RNAcentral